This 253-nucleotide ribosomal RNA is filed under the name uncultured bacterium. RNAcentral describes it as "partial 16S ribosomal RNA". It matches the Rfam family "Bacterial small subunit ribosomal RNA", at positions 524 to 776 of the family's 1533-position model. The record is from RNAcentral.
UACGUAGGGGGCGAGCGUUGUCCGGAAUCAUUGGGCGUAAAGAGCGUGUAGGCGGACUGGAAGGUCUGGUGUGAAAGCCCGGGGCUCAACCCCGGAAUUGCCUUUAAGACUGCAUCGCUAGAAUCCGGGAGAGGUGAGUGGAAUUCCGAGUGUAGAGGUGAAAUUCGUAGAUAUUCGCAAGAACACCAGUGGCGAAGGCGGCUCACUGGCCCGGUACUGACGCUGAGGUGCGAAAGCGUGGGGAGCAAACAGG